RNAcentral lists this ribosomal RNA (292 nucleotides) under uncultured bacterium. Its description in RNAcentral is "partial 16S ribosomal RNA". It matches the Rfam family "Bacterial small subunit ribosomal RNA", at positions 505 to 796 of the family's 1533-position model. The record is from RNAcentral.
GUGUCAGCAGCCGCGGUAAGACGAACCGUGCGAACGUUGUUCGGAAUCACUGGGCUUAAAGGGCGCGUAGGCGGGUCAGCAAGUCCGGGGUGAAAUCUUUCGGCUUAACCGGAAAAGUGCCUUGGAUACUGCUGGUCUUGAGGGAGGUAGGGGUCUGCGGAACUUCUGGUGGAGCGGUGAAAUGCGUUGAUAUCAGAAGGAACGCCGGUGGCGAAAGCGGCGGACUGGACCUCUUCUGACGCUGAGGCGCGAAAGCUAGGGGAGCAAACGGGAUUAGAUACCCCUGUAGUCC